CGGCGAGUGAAGCGGCAACAGCUCAAAUUUGAAAUCUGGGACGUUCGGUCUCCGAGUUGUAAUUUGCAGAGGAAGCCUCGGAGGGAUGGUCGGUCCAAGUGCCUUGGAACAGGAUACCGCAGAGGGUGAGAGUCCCGUAUCCGGCCGACGCAUCGCUCCGUGUGAGGCUCCUUCGACGAGUCGAGUUGUUUGGGAAUGCAGCUCUAAGCGGGUGGUAAAUUCCAUCUAAAGCUAAAUACUGGCCAGAGACCGAUAGCGAACAAGUAGAGUGAUCGAAAGAUGAAAAGCACUUUGAAAAGAGAGUCAAACAGUACGUGAAAUUGUUGAAAGGGAAGCGCAUGGGGGCAGACUUGGACGCGGGGUUCAGGGUGUCGAUUUCGGCGCCUGUACUUCCCCGCGGACAGGCCAGCAUCGGUUCUGGGGGCCGGACAAAGGCGUUGAGAAAGUGGCCGCCUCGGCGGUGUUAUAGCUCGACGUGCAAUGCGGCC
Molecule: ribosomal RNA, 488 nt
Filed under: Verruconis verruculosa
Lineage: Eukaryota; Fungi; Ascomycota; Dothideomycetes; Venturiales; Sympoventuriaceae
Description: eukaryotic LSU rRNA
Rfam family: Eukaryotic large subunit ribosomal RNA
Source: RNAcentral